GUUUAUCAAAAACAUGUCUUUUUGGAUUUAAUUUAAAGUCUAGCCUGCCCACUGAUUUAUUAAAUGGCCGCAGUAUUUUGACUGUGCAAAGGUAGCAUAAUCAUUAGUCUUUUAAUUGAAGGCUGGAAUGAAUGGUUGGAUGAAAUAUUAACUGUUUCAUAUAAAUUUAUAUAAAAUUUUAUUUUUUAGUUAAAAAGCUAAAAUUUUUUUAAAAGACGAGAAGACCCUAUAAAUCUUUAUAUUUUAUUUUAUAAUUUUUAUAAAGAUGAUUUAAAUUUUUAUUAUAUAAAAUAUUUUAUUGGGGUGAUAUUAAAAUUUAUAGAACUUUUAAUUAAAUUUUACAAUUAUUAUUGAAAUAUUGAUCCAUAUUUAAUGAUUAAGAAAUUAAGUUACUUUAGGGAUAACAGCGUAAUUUUUUUAGAGAGUUCAUAUUAAUAAAAAAGUUUGCGACCUCGAUGUUGGAUUAAGAUAAAAUUUAGGUGAAGAA
RNAcentral lists this ribosomal RNA (487 nucleotides) under Melaloncha muricata. Its description in RNAcentral is "partial 16S ribosomal RNA". The record is from RNAcentral. Lineage: Eukaryota; Metazoa; Arthropoda; Insecta; Diptera; Phoridae.